AAGGAAGUGUGCCCGAACGUCCAAAGGAAUACUUUGAUAGAGUACACCACAGGGGUUAAAAUCCCCUUACUUCC
This 74-nucleotide transfer RNA is filed under the name Brachymeles gracilis gracilis. Its description in RNAcentral is "tRNA-Xle". It matches the Rfam family "tRNA". Rfam says of the family: Transfer RNA (tRNA) molecules are approximately 80 nucleotides in length. Their secondary structure includes four short double-helical elements and three loops (D, anti-codon, and T loops). Further hydrogen bonds mediate the characteristic L-shaped molecular structure. tRNAs have two regions of fundamental functional importance: the anti-codon, which is responsible for specific mRNA codon recognition, and the 3' end, to which the tRNAs corresponding amino acid is attached (by aminoacyl-tRNA synthetases). tRNAs cope with the degeneracy of the genetic code in two manners: having more than one tRNA (with a specific anti-codon) for a particular amino acid; and 'wobble' base-pairing, i.e. permitting non-standard base-pairing at the 3rd anti-codon position. Lineage: Eukaryota; Metazoa; Chordata; Lepidosauria; Squamata; Scincidae. The record is from RNAcentral.